RNAcentral lists this long non-coding RNA (1638 nucleotides) under Homo sapiens (human). RNAcentral describes it as "HSALNT0349054". Lineage: Eukaryota; Metazoa; Chordata; Mammalia; Primates; Hominidae. The record is from RNAcentral.
AAUUCAUAAUAGAAGAGAGAAGGAGAGGCAACAAUUUUAAGUAAAUGGAAUAUUUGGAAAUUAAUGGCAUUAAAUGAUGGGAAACUUGCUUGUUCUUGUUAUGCUUAUUUGCAAUUACGAGGCAUCAGUAAAUAUAUUCCCAGUAGUGAAACUGUUUUAAAUGACUUCUGAUUUAAGAUUUGUAUGACCCAUCACAGACAGCAAUGCUCUCAUGGAAAGCAGCUUUCAGUGUGACUCCACUGGAACUCACUUCUUCUUGUAAUGAUGGGAAGCCUCUGGGCUUCAAGAUACAAUCUACAUAAGAGAUGGAUUUACAUUUAAGACAAAUGCAAUAAGGAAAAUGCAUAUACCCAUAAGAGGCAUUCCAUCUUAAGACUGUUAUUGGGAAUAGAACAAUUAAUUAUUAGUGAAGAAAUGCAGAAACUUAGACAAGCAACUGAGAUCUAAAUAGAAAGAUAUUCUCCAUCUACUGCAUAUGUUUGUCAAUAAUUGGCCCUAAGCUGCUUCUAAAAUUAAUUGGAUACUGUGCAAUGACUAUGAUGCUCAAAAGGGCUUUUAAUUAACGUACCCUCUCUGUAGUUUAUAACAGUAGAAAAAGUGUUCAGCAAUAGUAGCCAUUCAGUUCCUGUACAGCCAUAUUUUGUCUAUGGUUAUUUAAGUGCUUUCCAAACUUAGUAAAAAGAAAAACAACUUGAUGAGUAACAUGGAAAUUCUAUGCUUGUAUAGCUCUCUAUAAGGAUAACUGGAUAAGUCAGUUUUAUUUUUUAAAUAAAUUAAGUUCUUAGAUUUUUAGAUAAAGCAUAGUGUUUUUUCCUGUCUGCUGAAGUAACACUACUGAAUCUUUAGGGAGAGAUUUAUGCCAGAGACAUUCUGGCAUAUUUUUUAUUUGGAUACAGUUGACCUCUCUUUGAUUACAGACUUAUACCUAAGGGACUAAUAGCUAAAGAAAGAGAAAGCUGUACAGCUGAUGUUUAACUGUAACAUGAGCACAAUCUUGCAGAAACUUUAGAAGAAGUCAAAUGGAGAAAAGCUAGUUCUCAUUUUUCAACUUUAGAAGAUGAGUACAGCUGGCUUGUGUUUAUAAAGUCACACUAGAGGCGUAACAAGCUGCAUUAAUCACCAGUUCAUAGUGGGGAACCACAAGAAAGUCACAGGAGUCCCAGAGGAGUGCGGAAAGACAGACGUCUGUUGCAACAACAGCCUGGCAAUAAAGAGCACAGGCUAAAGGAUACGCUCAUUGGGAAACUUUGGGAAAACUUAGGAAAGAGACAAGAAACAGUAAGAGCCUGUGAGAGAGUCAGGUGAUCAUAGAUACUCAGUACAUAUGGUAAAUCUGCAUGGGAUGAAGAUGUUCUAUGAAUAUACAGAAGAGUAUGCCUGAGUUUACAGUUCCUCUCUGAUAAGAUUCUGAAUAGCUGAAUUAUAUAUUCUGUGCAAUCCUGGGAAAACACUGACUUUGUAUUUUGUUUAUGCUUGGGAAUAACAAAUAAGAAAUAUCCUAGAGCAAUUCAUUUAGGGAAGGCACUUCAAGCCUGAAAGAACUCAAUGAUGCAAGCAAAGGAUUGAAAAAAAAGUUACCCUCUGCUAUUGGGACAACUGAUAAAAUGUCUCAAAUGUUUUUUUGUUUUGUUUUGUUCU